UGUGCCAAAGUAAAAACUUUAAAACAGGGUGGAGGGGAACGAACAUUUGUUUUCUUCAUCUAUCCAAAAGACACUUAUAUUCUGGCCUUUGGAGUAAGAAAUAUUAGAUACUUUGGAGAGAAAGCACCCAGACUACACUUGAGUAGAGAGUUCGCAUACCUCUAGGAGUCAAACUUCUAGUGCUGUCUUGAUGUUCCCAAAGACAAAGUGGUAGGUUUCGCAACUCAUUUUAUCUUCUGGCUUAUGUCAGGGAAAUGUUUAUUAUCCCCAAAAUCUUGAAUAUUAUUUCUUGUUUCCUCCUCCAUUAGAUAGCAACUUCCUUUUCUCCCCUUGAAAAGCCUUGCAUUAUAGGAAUUAUAGCACUGCAAAUAUGGUUUCAGUAUUUUCCAGUCCCAGACCUGUGCUUUUGCCAGCUUUUACCCAGUGAACUCUGAGCUCGACUCUCUUAGUCCAUACAAAAAUGAGGAAAGGUUGCUCUACCCAUUAUUCAGCACUGCUCUAGUAUUUGGGGACUCCUAUUUCCUGAAUAUCACCGAUAGCCUUAUUUUUAUGGGUAUUUCUAUCAUUUUCACAUCUUCCUUGUGCUUCUCUGGUGGGAAUAGUCUCUAAAUGUUUCUUUUGAGAUAAAAGUCUCUAAAUUUUUCUUGUCCUCAAUAUCUAGUUUUCCUGUUCCUCAAAAUCUGUUUAUUUCUUCCCCCUCUUUCUUUUGUUUUGUUAUAUGUAGUACCUGGGGCUGGAUGUAUAUCUGUGCUGCAAUAGCUAUUUGCACAUUUAUAAAUAAAGCAAAUUGGAUUACGAGAACUUUCGUCAAGUUCAGGAGAAUUUAGAUCAAAUUUUUCCGUCUGAACUCAUUGUUACCUUUCUCAAAAUAUAAAGACUUGCCUUCUAAACUUGACUUUUUUUUCUUCACUCUGCUGUUAAUGAAUCUAUAAGUUGUUUUAUUAUGUUCUGUUUUGGUUGUCACUUUGGCAUCCCAUGUUGCAGUUUAAGAUUUUGUAGUAGGUGGCUUUCAGAUAAAUCUUGAGCAGAAAUUUCGCCAGUAGCAGACAUGUUAUUUUACCUGUUCUUUGAUCAAUAGUUCGUCAGCUUAAUGUAGAAAUUAUUUCAUGUCCUGGUCCCUAGUUUUUGGCAAUGUUUCUUGAAAUGGUAAAUAUUAUUGAUGCCAAAACUCAAAACUAGCACUAAGAAAGUGCUGUGAUUACAUCCAAAAAGAGCAAAAGAAAAGUGAACCCUCGCUACCUAGACAGUAUCUAUGAACUAUAACAGGGUUUCAGCAUCCUCAACUAUAUCCAUUUUGCACCAGCAAGAGACUGUAAAUAUAAAAUCAGAUUUGAGUUUCCAGAUUGAGCUCUUUCGUCCAUCAAAAUAUCUUCUAUUCCUGUCCUUCCAGAUACUCCAUCAUAUGCUAGCAGGUUCUCUAGAGUUAGACAAGCUUCCUUGAUGACAAGCCAUUUAAAACUCAUUACUUUGACAGGAGCUCUGGAAUUCCAUAUCUGUUUCUAAGGACCAACAUUAAUCUGAUUCCCAGCAUUCGGUUAAACCUUAUGGAGUAGCAUUCUCUUUAUUGAGAGGAAGGUAUUUUUGCCAUGUUGGACUACCUGGGUGGACUGCCAUGUCAGCUCUAAUAGCAAAGAUAAUGUUUUAAGGCUAUUUGUGUUCCAAAACAUAGACGACAAGGGUGGUUUUGAUUCCAAACAUAUUUAAAGGGUAUAUAUGAGCUAUUUCGAAUAGUUCGAGGGUGAUUUUGACCCUUUUCCGUUAACUUUUUACUGCUUUUGUUAAUGUAGAGUUCAAGAAAGCAAAAAAUAAAAUAAAAAUCUUGUAGAAUGUUUUUGUUUUUGUUUUAUUUUGAGGUUAGCAUGGUUAGUAAGACGAUAAUCUUUUUUGAGCAACUU
Solanum tuberosum (potato) is the source of this 1895-nucleotide long non-coding RNA. RefSeq lists it as uncharacterized. Lineage: Eukaryota; Viridiplantae; Streptophyta; Magnoliopsida; Solanales; Solanaceae. The transcript has 2 exons. The record is from RefSeq and is a predicted model, not a curated record.